Molecule: long non-coding RNA, 950 nt
Filed under: Lynx pardinus (Iberian lynx)
Lineage: Eukaryota; Metazoa; Chordata; Mammalia; Carnivora; Felidae
Source: RNAcentral
GGCAUUCAGAGCGACCUUCUCCUUCCCCAGACCCGAGCUGGACCAGAGGGAGGAGAUUCUGGCCCUCAGCCACAGCCUGCCCUGUCAUUCACACGUCCAAGUUCAGAGCUGACCUCCAAGAGCAUCUCCCCUCCCAGUCGCCCCUGGAAGGCCAUGCGUUCCAGCAGCAAGGGGAGCUGGGAAAUCUACAGGACGCUCACCCCCACCCCUAGCCGUCCCCUUCAGGGAAGUGAGGAAUCAUCCGGUGGAAAGGUCCUUUGAGAAUUUCAAGUUCCAAUGCCCCAUUUUUACAGAUGGGGAAACUGCGGCGGGGAGAGGGGAGUGAUUUGCCCAAAGUCACACGGUACGUGGCGGCAGAGUUGGGAUUUAGAGCAAAGCUUCCUGGAUCCUUGUAAAGGACUCUAUUCCAAUUAGCUUAAGCUCAAUUUCUAACCCUUUUGUAGGAACCAUGGGAAAAUAUAGAUAGAUAUCUGUAUUUAUAUUAUAUAUAUAAUACACAUAUUUAUAACGUCUUUAAGAAAUAGACACACAUCACUAGGUGCAGGAUUCCAGAGCACUGUAGACUCAUCAGCCUUGGGCCUCUCCUCUCUGCCCAACAAGCAGCCCUGUUAUCCACAGGGUCUCGUCUGGGUCCUCCCUUUCUCGGUCAGCCCAGAAAUGCUGUCUAUCAAAUCCCGAGUCCACUUCCUAGAAUGGCCAAGUUCUAGGAGCUGACUAGAACUUUCCAGGUUUUAAUAAUGGACAACUCUGGCUCCCCAGAGCUUUGAUUCCCUUUGGCAUUAACAGAACCACAAAGAAUCAUCAAGAUUCUCAACUCCAUUGGGCAAACUGGAACCAACAAAUCUCAGACAUCCAGAAUCGCCACUCCUUCCUUGACUCUGUGAUCAACCUAGAGACACAGAAUCCUGAUUCCUUUGGACAUUCUAGAAUGGCACUUAAAAAACAAAAAA